GGAUAAGCGGAAGAAAUUCCGUCUAAUACCGCGUAACAACCCGAGGAGGCAUCUCCUCGGGUUUAAAGGAAGCGAUUCCGGCUACGGAUGGUCAUGCGUCGCAUUAGCUAGUUGGCGGGGUAACGGCCCACCAAGGCGACGAUGCGUAGGGGUUCUGAGAGGAAGGUCCCCCACACUGGUACUGAGACACGGACCAGACUCCUACGGGAGGCAGCAGUGAGGAAUAUUGGUCAAUGGCCGCAGGGCUGAACCAGCCAAGUCGCGUGAGGGAUGACGGUCCCAUGGAUUGUAAACCUCUUUUGUCAGGGAGCAAAGGGCGCCACGUGUGGUGUUUUGCGAGUACCUGAAGAAAAAGCAUCGGCUAACUCCGUGCCAGCAGCCGCGGUAAUACGGAGGAUGCGAGCGUUAUCCGGAUUUAUUGGGUUUAAAGGGUGCGCAGGCGGAAUGUCAAGUCAGCGGUAAAAUUUCGGGGCUCAACCCCGUCGUGCCGUUGAAACUGGCGUUCUUGAGUGAGCGAGAAGUAUGCGGAAUGCGUGGUGUAGCGGUGAAAUGCAUAGAUAUCACGCAGAACUCCGAUUGCGAAGGCAGCAUACCGGCGCUCAACUGACGCUCAUGCACGAAAGCGUGGGUAUCGAACAGGAUUAGAUACCCUGGUAGUCCACGCAGUAAACGAUGAAUACUAACUGUCCGGGCAGAAUGAUGCCUGGGU
This 709-nucleotide ribosomal RNA is filed under the name uncultured bacterium. RNAcentral's name for it is "bacterial SSU rRNA". It matches the Rfam family "Bacterial small subunit ribosomal RNA", at positions 141 to 844 of the family's 1533-position model. The record is from RNAcentral.